This 467-nucleotide ribosomal RNA is filed under the name uncultured bacterium. RNAcentral's name for it is "partial 16S ribosomal RNA". It matches the Rfam family "Bacterial small subunit ribosomal RNA", at positions 28 to 507 of the family's 1533-position model. The record is from RNAcentral.
GGUGAACGCUGACAGAAUGCUUAACACAUGCAAGUCAACUUGAAUUUGGGUUUUUAACUUCGGUUUGGGUGGCGGACGGGUGAGUAACGCGUAAAGAACUUGCCUCACAGCUAGGGACAACAUUUGGAAACGAAUGCUAAUACCUAAUAUUAUGAUAAUAGGGCAUCCUAUAAUUAUGAAAGCUAUAAGCGCUGUGAGAGAGCUUUGCGUCCCAUUAGCUAGUUGGAGAGGUAACGGCUCACCAAGGCGAUGAUGGGUAGCCGGCCUGAGAGGGUGAUCGGCCACAAGGGGACUGAGACACGGCCCUUACUCCUACGGGAGGCAGCAGUGGGGAAUAUUGGACAAUGGACCGAGAGUCUGAUCCAGCAAUUCUGUGUGCACGAUGAAGUUUUUCGGAAUGUAAAGUGCUUUCAGUUGGGAAGAAACAAAUGACGGUACCAACAGAAGAAGUGACGGCUAAAUACGUG